UGGGGGAAUAUUGGACAAUGGGCGCAAGCCUGAUCCAGCAAUGCCGCGUGUGUGAAGAAGGCCUUCGGGUUGUAAAGCACUUUUGUCCGGAAAGAAAUCCUUGGCUCUAAUACAGUCGGGGGAUGACGGUACCGGAAGAAUAAGCACCGGCUAACUACGUGCCAGCAGCCGCGGUAAUACGUAGGGUGCAAGCGUUAAUCGGAAUUACUGGGCGUAAAGCGUGCGCAGGCGGUUUGCUAAGACCGAUGUGAAAUCCCCGGGCUCAACCUGGGAACUGCAUUGGUGACUGGCAGGCUAGAGUAUGGCAGAGGGGGGUAGAAUUCCACGUGUAGCAGUGAAAUGCGUAGAGAUGUGGAGGAAUACCGAUGGCGAAGGCAGCCCCCCUGGGCCAAUACUGACGCUCAUGCACGAAAGCGUGGGGGAGCAAACAGGAUUAGAUACCCUGGUAGUCCACGCCCUAAACGAUGUCAACUAGUUGUUGGGGAUUCAUUUCCUUAGUAACGUAGCUAACGCGUGAAGUUGACCGCCUGGGGGAGUACGGUCGCAAGAUUAAAA
RNAcentral lists this ribosomal RNA (555 nucleotides) under uncultured bacterium. RNAcentral's name for it is "partial 16S ribosomal RNA". It matches the Rfam family "Bacterial small subunit ribosomal RNA", at positions 354 to 899 of the family's 1533-position model. The record is from RNAcentral.